UACGUAGGGUGCGAGCGUUGUCCGGAAUUAUUGGGCGUAAAGAGCUUGUAGGCGGUUUGUCGCGUCUGCCGUGAAAGCCCAGGGCUUAACCCUGGGUCUGCGGUGGGUACGGGCAGACUAGAGUGUGGUAGGGGAGACUGGAAUUCCUGGUGUAGCGGUGAAAUGCGCAGAUAUCAGGAGGAACACCGGUGGCGAAGGCGGGUCUCUGGGCCGAUACUGACGCUGGAGGAGCGAAAGCGUGGGGAGCGAACAGG
This 254-nucleotide ribosomal RNA is filed under the name uncultured bacterium. RNAcentral describes it as "partial 16S ribosomal RNA". It matches the Rfam family "Bacterial small subunit ribosomal RNA", at positions 524 to 776 of the family's 1533-position model. The record is from RNAcentral.